GCUCGUUGACUCGUAUCAAUAACAACAGAAUUUGGUCCAUGCAACUGUGUAUAUGUUUCGCCUGUUAUAAGGUCAUUUAACAAAUCCAUUUGUAAGAUACUUCCCAUAAGCAGAUUUGCACAUAUAUUGAAAGACAGGUAAGUCUUAUCUUCAGUAAAUCUGUAAAUCUGCAACGAUUGAUAGAAGCUGUCGAUAAGAAGGAUUUUAUGUACCUUUUGCGUCUGCAAUGCCAUCUGUGGUCUAUUUAUAACGUAUGAUUGAUCAAAAAACCAGACGCGUAUAUAAUCAAGAAUUCAACGACGAUACAUGUUACUUAUCAUAUUUGAAAAAAGUGUAAGUUAUGUGUAAUUUUGUGCGAGACGUAUCGAAAAAAGAAAUCUCAUGCAAAACAUACCGCAGAGCAUUUCCGAUGACAUGUCAAAACAGACUCAAUAUCGAAUUAUUCUAUCAGAUCCCGAUAACUUGGGGCUACGUGAGAUUACUGCCGGUAAUGAAAGAGAAAUAUAUACAUAUAUUCUUAAAAGAACUAACUUAUUAAAUUGAAUCUGGGCGAGCUAUCUCUCACUAUUCUAAUGAAUAAUUAAAAGAAACAAAGAUAAAGAGCUACGAUUAUACAAUAUGAUCUUGAAAUACUAGCGAUAUGAUAGCAAUAGUAUAGUAACUUUAAUUUAUUGAAUAUGUUAUGUACGUAAAAGCAUACGUUAGACGUUUUGUCAAUUUAAGAGCACUUAAUCUGCCGACUUAUCUGUAUGUGUAACCAUCUCAAGCCUCAUUUCUUCGAGCCUGCCCUUGAUGUAGUUCAAGACCCUUUUAUGUGCUUCUUGUUUGAGUAUUCUCUCUGUGACCACAAGCUCACUUCAAUCUUUCGGCCCCGCCGUGAUGAUUUUCUAAAUAUGGAGUUAUGCCAUAGAAUUGACCCUCGAAACGACGAACUAUUUUGUUCCAAUCGCUAUAUUCAUGAGACAUCUGUGAAAAGCAUUAGGCUUUACGUAAUCAUAAGUUUUUAAACGGCAAUUUUAAUGCUUAUUUAUUUUUGUUGAGAAACUCGUGCCAACAUAGUUCACCCGACAAAGCACUAAGUUGAAAAAACUUCUUUGUUGCUUCAACGCACUCUUGUGUGAUAGAGAAAAUGAUAGUAAAAGCAACAGGAAUAACCAUAAAAGUGGUAUCUCCAAAUAUGGCUGGACAAACGCUUUCAUGGUGACGUAUACCAGCACGCUCUUAAUUUCUACAGGUAUCCACAGUUAAACAAAGCAGAAAACACAAACACCAAUAAAUACUGAAACUGGUUGUCUUCGACUAAAUACGUUUCUUAACAAUUUUUUUGCUUUAGUUUACUUUAAUGCCCAUUCAAGGCAAAUCAUGUGAGGAUCUCAUGCGAUAAGCACAACGAAUUUCUUUUGCCUACUUUUGAUUAAAAAUCAAGCACAUAAAAAGCAUGUUUUAUUUCAAAUAGUUAUUCAUAGUAUACAUACAUUGAAUUGUAUGAUGAUGAUGAUAGGUUGUUAGCUAGCAGUAAGAAUGUUUAUCGGCUAGAUUCUGUGAAACGAAUGGAUGUAUCUGACCUUAACUAUCGAUGGUGGAUCCCGUUAUGGAAAGGGGACAAACGCCGUCAAAAAAACAUUGUGAACAAUGUCACAAUGAUUACACAAAACUUACGUUUUGGCUAAUGCAAACCCUUCCGUUUCAGCGUAUACACUGUGCUAAAACGUACCACUGAUAAAUAACACAAUUUUAUUUAUUACAAUUUCAGCAUAGAGUUAAAAUUUAAAUUGUUAACCUAUUUACGAAACGUUAUUAAGCCGUAACAAAACAACACUCAGUUUCCUAUUCAUAGCAUAAAUUCGGGACCUCUCGCAGAUCCGCUAGUUCAACCAGUUUUCAAAUUGAACUAAAUUGUGGAACGUAUAGAUGGACAUGAACGGCAAAAGGCAGUAUAGAAAAGCUGAGAUCGGCUACACGCUUAAACAACUACAAUGAACCAAACAAGCACGAAACAAACACAGUGUUACAGUUGCAACACUAUACGUGUCGAGAAGGAAACGCGUUUUUCAAAGAGGCUAUGGAUAGCAAAGAGAGUUGUACAAUAUUCUUUAAGAAAAAGUGUCCUCAAGAACGUUGAUAUACCUUUUUAGGCAAAAAGCUCAGGCUUAAUAACAAUACAGUGACUUCAAUUGACCUUUACAAACGAACAUUAUUACUUGUAUGCCGUACCGUUUAAUAAAAAUACCACCUAAUAAGAUUUUUGCAGAUCUAAUUAGUUGGGUAAUGCGUUCGUUAAGAUUAUGUAUUUGCACUUAGUUUUUCGUUACAAUGGUAAAAGAAAGCGUAAUCAUAUUAAUAAUGUAAUCAUAAUAAACAUGAUCGAUUUCAUACUUUUACGCAGAGGCUUGACUGUGCUAAUGAAAUGCUUUUUCAUUUGAAAAAACAUCUCGCUUUCGUAGUACUAUUUCAUGUACGAUGCCGUCCAUAGUACACUGCAGCAUUUCAUAUAAAUGUUGACCUACGAUUCCGUAACUGUUCUUGAUUCUUUGAUAAUUUUCGGUUUAAAAUAAAAUAUAUGGAAAAACACAUCUUUAUUAGGUAAGACUGAUCUAAUUUACUGCCGAUUUAAACUGCAUAAUAAGAAGCUUGAUAAAUAAAAGGGGAACAAUUUAAGUAUCUCAAUUACUUUAUCAUACUAUGUACUUUGAUAAAGAGACAACAACUAUUUUCAAUGGAAUGGGACCUAAAUAAAAUCAGGUAAGGUUCUUCACAAUGUAGCAAUCUAUUGUAACUAUGUGCAAUCAGCUCUAGAUAGAUAAAAUGCAUACUAUAUUGCUACAGAUGGAGCGGCUGUGUAACACUUGAGAAAUAUAUGGACAAGGUUGAUCCACAUCGUUUUAGUAAUGCUGAAACGUUGAUGGAGGCAUUUACUAGAUUGUCUUUUGCACGACAAUUAGUUUGACUUGAUUACCUUACAUUUGUUCCUUUUCAGCCUUAAACCUUGCUGGCUACAUCAGUGCAUCAGGCAAAUUCGUCGUUACUUCCUAUCAUGAAUAUGGUCGCCUUAUAGACCCUGUAUCUGUACAUAAAAUAUAACGUUACUAAAUCAAGCUAUAGAAUGAUUUAAUUUCCUUACUGUGAAUUCCUCCAUGAUAACUAAUGAAUCAUGUAUUAUUCAACUUAUAACUGUAGUUAGGUACAUACCUAUAGCUUAUACCCCCUACAAAACCUUUUAAUUUCCCUAACACCGUAAGCUGUAAAUGCACCUUGCGACGCUCGAUUCACCUAUCUCUUAUAGCGUAGGUUAGUGUUUGAUUACAAUGAAUAACCAACAGCGAACGCCUAUCGACACUAAAACACGUAAAUGAAAUCUGAUCAAACUUCGCUUCCCACCGUUAAUAAUCUCGCUUAGAGUUGUUCCUUCUAUAUAGGUGCAAACUGGCCGUAACUUCGUCUGUAUUCUCAUGUAUGGUAGUGUAGCAAUGAAUACGGACACGGCACGCGUACCCGUCUUCAUUGCUUUGUGUUUAUCUACCUAGAUGCCCCUCGUGAUCGGAACGAAUGAGCAUUGGUCGUUUAUCCGAUCUAGUGUCAGUUACUUCAAUUCGGUGUUUAUUCGUUGCGCCGCUAAGGAACACUUCUAGUUGACACCAUACAUAUACCCACCCACACACAAAAUUCGAUCCCUCUGCCUGGAUCAUCUUGUGUUUCUAAUCAGGGUGAUCGUAUUGCUACUAUUGUGACAAAUGAUGACCGUUACAUUAUACUGCCAAUACAGUGAUAGGUAAACAUUGCACGAAAAUAAGAGCGCCGAGCAAAGACCAUGUGCCGUUGAUACACGAUUGUGAAACACCAGAAGAAGUCGAGAAAUCAGUUCAGAGCUGCUGGACUUUCGGUUGUUCUGUAGAGAACGACUCAGCCGUUAAUGCUGGGAGCCAACAGAAGGUAUCAGCGGCGCGGCGGUACGUGAACACCUUUCUCUAUGUUUGUCAUAGACAACGAGCCAGAUUCCCUGUCACCGACAACAUCUCUUGCUACGAGCAUAGGUCCACUUCUCAUGGCUAUUUAUAAACUACUUCAGUCAAUGGCUCAACGCUAUUUCCGUGCGGCAACAUGUGUUCCGGUUUUUCACCCACUUUGCCCCGGCUACAGUUGUUCUGUUAGGGCAUCAUGAAUGCCACUGCGGCUCGACUACCACGGACGCGGGCACUUCUGCUGAUCAUCACGUCUAUUGUAGGCAUGGCUACUGUCGUCGCCCUAAAACUCUGCCACGAAAAGUACCAACUCUACAGAGAAUAUGCAAGCCUGGAACGUUUAGGUCGGGAUGUACAGUUUCUUGAACAAAGUGUCGACGACCUCGGUGCCAAUAUCGUUCAACUAGAAACGCGUCGCGAAAAAGUGCUUCGGCAACUGAAUUUGACAACUGCUAAAAGUGAUACGCAAGGUCGACAAGGCCAACAGGCAAGUGAACGGAUCAGUUGACGUUUCAUCUAGAGAUUUUGGCGCUGUAUUGUACAACUACGUAAUUAAGCAUAGUUUGUACUAUGUAGUUGUUCUUGACGAGAGCGAUGACAUGAAGCGUAUCUGACCACUUAACAGAAAGCGACAUUUUAUAUGUGCUAAAAGUAUUUACAGACUACACAAAGCAAUUGAAAGCAUGGGAGAUGUUUUUCAAAAUUUAUUUAACAUUUCCAUCUUCGAUAGUCUAAUAGAAGAAUGUACAUCAUUUCAUGAAAAACCCGUGUAUUAUCAUUUUUUACAGUAUACCGAUAUUUUAUAACUAUGAACUGUAUAUCAGAACGUAGAGUACGUCUUUACCAAUGUUUGUAAGUGAAAUAUCUCCAGGCGAGCUAACCGACUAUACGCAGUAAUACAACAGUAAUGUAGUUCGGAAGUUUUUGUGACAAAAUCGUUAGAUAAAUUGGCCUCGAUAUUGAUGAUAACAAAAAACGAAGUUUAUUGAUAUAGAUGACUUGGAACGGUAAACGAGUAUCGCGAAAAACAAAAUCCUGAAGAUAAGUCUGUAAAAGUGCCUUGGUUAACAAAAAAAUUAACUGUAAAGGCAGUAUUCACUUUAAUUAACAAUAUUAAUGAGUUUGCUUCCAUAAAUUAUGUUUUAGAUUCAUAUAAGUGUGCCAAUAUGGCUAAUUCCUAGAUAGUACACUGUCCUCAAAUCCGUAACAGAGAACACAACGGUUAAUUCGGGAGAUACCACCAAGUAUGUACACGAGCGGCUAGACGUCUUCAUAGAUUAAAUCUAAAAAUUUCGAGGCCAACAAGAUGAUAUUUUGGCUUGAUCUUGUUUGUCAUUAACAAGUCGUGCACGCACUGAAAAUGGAUUUUUUCAUACAAUGCCUAACAAAGAUGCGUUCGAAAUAUUUCGGGCCCAAAACACCACACACAAAAUGCCAUUGGUUUGCCUUAUCUUAGAACAAACAUUUGGCUGCAUAGAUUACCAAAUUUUAUUCAGGAAAAAAUUUUAUACAGACAUAUGAAAGUGUG
Varroa destructor (honeybee mite) is the source of this 5487-nucleotide long non-coding RNA. The record is from RefSeq and is a predicted model, not a curated record. Lineage: Eukaryota; Metazoa; Arthropoda; Arachnida; Mesostigmata; Varroidae.